CCGUGAGGGAAAGGCGAAAAGAACCCCGGCGAGGGGAGUGAAAAAGAACCUGAAACCGUGUACGUACAAGCAGUGGGAGCACGCUUAGGCGUGUGACUGCGUACCUUUUGUAUAAUGGGUCAGCGACUUAUAUUCUGUAGCAAGGUUAACCGAAUAGGGGAGCCGAAGGGAAACCGAGUCUUAACUGGGCGUUAAGUUGCAGGGUAUAGACCCGAAACCCGGUGAUCUAGCCAUGGGCAGGUUGAAGGUUGGGUAACACUAACUGGAGGACCGAACCGACUAAUGUUGAAAAAUUAGCGGAUGACUUGUGGCUGGGGGUGAAAGGCCAAUCAAACCGGGAGAUAGCUGGUUCUCCCCGAAAGCUAUUUAGGUAGCGCCUCGUGAAUUCAUCUCCGGGGGUAGAGCACUGUUUCGGCAAGGGGGUCAUCCCGACUUACCAACCCGAUGCAAACUGCGAAUACCGGAGAAUGUUAUCACGGGAGACACACGGCGGGUGCUAACGUCCGUCGUGAAGAGGGAAACAACCCAGACCGCCAGCUAAGGUCCCAAAGUCAUGGUUAAGUGGGAAACGAUGUGGGAAGGCCCAGACAGCCAGGAUGUUGGCUUAGAAGCAGCCAUCAUUUAAAGAAAGCGUAAUAGCUCACUGGUCGAGUCGGCCUGCGCGGAAGAUGUAACGGGGCUAAACCAUGCACCGAAGCUGCGGCAGCGACGCUUAUGCGUUGUUGGGUAGGGGAGCGUUCUGUAAGCCUGCGAAGGUGUGCUGUGAGGCAUGCUGGAGGUAUCAGAAGUGCGAAUGCUGACAUAAGUAACGAUAAAGCGGGUGAAAAGCCCGCUCGCCGGAAGACCAAGGGUUCCUGUCCAACGUUAAUCGGGGCAGGGUGAGUCGACCCCUAAGGCGAGGCCGAAAGGCGUAGUCGAUGGGAAACAGGUUAAUAUUCCUGUACUUGGUGUUACUGCGAAGGGGGGACGGAGAAGGCUAUGUUGGCCGGGCGACGGUUGUCCCGGUUUAAGCGUGUAGGCUGGUUUUCCAGGCAAAUCCGGAAAAUCAAGGCUGAGGCGUGAUGACGAGGCACUACGGUGCUGAAGCAACAAAUGCCCUGCUUCCAGGAAAAGCCUCUAAGCAUCAGGUAACAUCAAAUCGUACCCCAAACCGACACAGGUGGUCAGGUAGAGAAUACCAAGGCGCUUGAGAGAACUCGGGUGAAGGAACUAGGCAAAAUGGUGCCGUAACUUCGGGAGAAGGCACGCUGAUAUGUAGGUGAAGUCCCUCGCGGAUGGAGCUGAAAUCAGUCGAAGAUACCAGCUGGCUGCAACUGUUUAUUAAAAACACAGCACUGUGCAAACACGAAAGUGGACGUAUACGGUGUGACGCCUGCCCGGUGCCGGAAGGUUAAUUGAUGGGGUCAGCGCAAGCGAAGCUCUUGAUCGAAGCCCCGGUAAACGGCGGCCGUAACUAUNNNNNNNNNNNNNNNNNNNNNNNNNNNNNNNNNNNNNNNNCUUGUCGGGUAAGUUCCGACCUGCACGAAUGGCGUAAUGAUGGCCAGGCUGUCUCCACCCGAGACUCAGUGAAAUUGAACUCGCUGUGAAGAUGCAGUGUACCCGCGGCAAGACGGAAAGACCCCGUGAACCUUUACUAUAGCUUGACACUGAACAUUGAGCCUUGAUGUGUAGGAUAGGUGGGAGGCUUUGAAGUGUGGACGCCAGUCUGCAUGGAGCCGACCUUGAAAUACCACCCUUUAAUGUUUGAUGUUCUAACGUUGACCCGUAAUCCGGGUUGCGGACAGUGUCUGGUGGGUAGUUUGACUGGGGCGGUCUCCUCCUAAAGAGUAACGGAGGAGCACGAAGGUUGGCUAAUCCUGGUCGGACAUCAGGAGGUUAGUGCAAUGGCAUAAGCCAGCUUGACUGCGAGCGUGACGGCGCGAGCAGGUGCGAAAGCAGGUCAUAGUGAUCCGGUGGUUCUGAAUGGAAGGGCCAUCGCUCAACGGAUAAAAGGUACUCCGGGGAUAACAGGCUGAUACCGCCCAAGAGUUCAUAUCGACGGCGGUGUUUGGCACCUCGAUGUCGGCUCAUCACAUCCUGGGGCUGAAGUAGGUCCCAAGGGUAUGGCUGUUCGCCAUUUAAAGUGGUACGCGAGCUGGGUUUAGAACGUCGUGAGACAGUUCGGUCCCUAUCUGCCGUGGGCGCUGGAGAACUGAGGGGGGCUGCUCCUAGUACGAGAGGACCGGAGUGGACGCAUCACUGGUGUUCGGGUUGUCAUGCCAAUGGCACUGCCCGGUAGCUAAAUGCGGAAGAGAUAAGUGCUGAAAGCAUCUAAGCACGAAACUUGCCCCGAGAUGAGUUCUCCCUGACUCCUUGAGAGUCCUGAAGGAACGUUGAAGACGACGACGUUGAUAGGCCGGGUGUGUAAGCGCAGCGAUGCGUUGAGCUAACCGGUACUAAUGAACCGUGAGGCUUAACC
This 2458-nucleotide ribosomal RNA is filed under the name Staphylococcus aureus. RNAcentral describes it as "bacterial LSU rRNA". It matches the Rfam family "Bacterial large subunit ribosomal RNA", at positions 501 to 2925 of the family's 2925-position model. Lineage: Bacteria; Bacillati; Bacillota; Bacilli; Caryophanales; Staphylococcaceae. The record is from RNAcentral.